Molecule: long non-coding RNA, 1619 nt
Organism: Puntigrus tetrazona (Sumatra barb)
Lineage: Eukaryota; Metazoa; Chordata; Actinopteri; Cypriniformes; Cyprinidae
Exons: 3
Source: RefSeq, a predicted model, not a curated record
AAAAGAGCUUGAUCUGAGAUGUAAUAAGAUCAGAGACUCAAAGCAGCAGCUCAUUGAUGUGCUACGAGACUCAAACUGUAAACUGAGUGUAGAUCAAAAUCCAUAACCAGAAACCUGUGAUAGAGUUCAAUCACAAGAAAUAUAUGAAGGAGUUCAAUCACUAAAAAUGCUGUUUUGAAGUCGACUUGAGAGGAGCACUAAACAUCAAAUGAAGAUCCACAGAAGAGCGGCGCUACACUGUUAGACUUUUUUCUGUAUUUGUACUGUAACUUCCUGGCAGCCCUAUGGCUACUAAGUUACUGUGUCUUUACAGCCGUUUACCUGUAUAUGUGUUUUACAAUAUGAUGCCGUUACCAGAGUUUCAUUUUACAGUAUGAUACUCUUACUGCAACUUACUUUUACAGCACAACACUAAAGUUUUGUGUCCAUGUAUCAACCUCUGCCUAGUGUUUGGAUAUUGUUUGCCAAUCAACUGACCUUCGCCCCCUCUCUGUGUCUGGCAGAGCCAGAUCUGUUUGCUGUUUCUUUGACCUAUAGCACUGGGUUGUUUUAAAUAUUGUUUGUCAAAUAUUGUUUGAAAAUUGCUGUUCCUGGCUUAAAAUGAAUGAAAAACAGAUAGAAAUUAAAAAGCAGACACCAAAUUACUAGAGAAAACCAUAAUAAUCAAAAUAAAAGCAUAUUAAUAAGUGAAAGCAUAAAAUAAAUAUGGCAGAUUGAAUUAUGCAGCACAGUUUUCAACUUCACAUACAUUUCAACUCCUUUAACAAGCAUUUUAGAAAGAGUAUUAAAUGGUUCCCUCUUGUCCUUUUUAACUGACACAGUUAAAUUCCAGGCGUUGACCUCUCGUCUGUAUGUUGCAUUGCGGCUUUGUACAUGAAAAAAAUUAUAGCACGAUAAAAGACACUUCUUAGUGUGGUGGAAUAAUUUUCACUGAAGAAGUCCAGUAAGUUGGCGGGGCUCAGGACUCUCUCAGAAUGAAAACCCUGCGCUCCGAAUAUGAGUGUUAAAACUUUAUUUUACUUUUUAUUUUCCAUUUUUAUUGUCAAGUGAUACUACAUGCAUCACGAUUUAAUCAAUUCAAAACUGAGGUGUAUCCGAAAGCCAUAAACUAGCAUUGCUUUAUUAUAUUAUACUUUCCACGUUAAUGAUUAAUAGACUAUAAUUCGCUCCACACGUGACUGUCUGUAUGUCUGAAUCGGCAACUGUUUUAUUUGAUGGUAAUUUGAUACGCUCUUUUAUUGACGUUUUGUGGUUUUAUAUGGGUUUUUGACGAUUUACCGUUUCCAAAGCAAAACCUGCACGACACCUCCAAACUGUACCAGUCUCGUUCCCGGAAAACCGAGGACUUGGCAACAGGGCUCGGCUCUCGGCGAUGACGUCACCACGCACGCACGCACGCGCAGCCAGCGUCAUUCACGUUGCUUUCUUUGCGUCUACAACCAAAUGCAUUUGGGGUCACUUGGGGUUCGGGUCAUUUCUGCCUUGUUUUGGUCUGGUGCAGCGCUGUUUGUGCCUCUGCAGAUUAUAACAACGAGCUUAUCUGCUCCUCCUCAAGUGAAGCUCCUUUCACUGCAGUUCAACAAUAAAAUAUCCCCAUCAGUCUUCAAGUGAAGGCGAGC